This 1071-nucleotide long non-coding RNA is filed under the name Capsella rubella. Its description in RNAcentral is "long non-coding RNA (CRUB_LNC001373)". Lineage: Eukaryota; Viridiplantae; Streptophyta; Magnoliopsida; Brassicales; Brassicaceae. The record is from RNAcentral.
UUGAAGCUAAUUAUGGAUACAUUAAACAAACAUAAACAAAUUGCUUUACCUCCCAAAAGAGAGAGCCUACAAAGUCUGGUGGCAUCUUAAGUAUUGGGCGGUGAGUUAAGUUGCAUGAUGAUUAAAUACUAAAAUUUGGUUUAUGUAAACCCAAAUUAUUGAUGGGCUGUUAAACUUGUGUGCAACCAGGUCGUUGUCUUUCACAUACAAAAAAAAAAAAAACCGAAGAAGGAGUCAGCGAGACGACAGCUUCCACUUUGAAAGAGUUUGAUCUCUUUUCUUUCGUUUGUUCAUUCAAAGUUGGUAAAAGAACGCGCCAAUCUUCAAAUUUGACCUCUUCUAUAUAGUUUUUGUUUAUUACAUUUAGUCAUUUACGUGACUAGCGGCUUAUUUUACAGUUGUUAAUAGAAGUAGAAAGAAACUCACCAAAAGUCAAAAGAGUCCUAUCCGUACUUUUAUUCUCCCCAUGUCUCACUAUUUGAAUGUGUCAAACUUUGUAGUAUUGUUAAGUAUUUGGUUUUAACCAAUUCUUUGGUUUACAACAUUGCCGACUGAACCUGUCACACAUGUCCUUUUAUGUUAAUGAUUCUUUUACACCAUAUGAAAUAAAAAAUUAAGGAUUACUGAGUCUCAUUGCUCUGUUUUUCUUAAGUAUAAUUGUGUUAUGUGAUCUUUCUCCUCCUUGAAGAUGUGUCCAAAAGAAAGAGACUUUUGAGAUCUUUGCUCUGUUUUUUGUUGCUUUCUCUUCACGAACUAUGCAAAAAGACAUCAAGAAAGAAAAACCAAAAACGUUUUAGUCACCCAAACAAACUCAAUCUCAUCCGACAAAGUUAGAGGAACGAAAAUAUUAAAUUGUAAAAUGAAAUGAAAAUAAAUGGAGAAGGUGGAGAGUUGUGAGAAGGACAGGUGAAUCUACCAAUAAUCUCCUGCCUUAGAAGAAUGGGUCACAUGGAGUUUGGUUUAUAUAUAUUAACCUAUUUCUCAACUCUAUUUUUUCUCUCAAAGUAGAUACAUUUACUUACCUUUUUUUUUUCUACCAUUUCUCAAAACAGAGUCCCGUUGGAGUUUUUU